RNAcentral lists this ribosomal RNA (495 nucleotides) under uncultured bacterium. Its description in RNAcentral is "partial 16S ribosomal RNA". It matches the Rfam family "Bacterial small subunit ribosomal RNA", at positions 28 to 507 of the family's 1533-position model. The record is from RNAcentral.
GACGAACGCUGGCGGCGUGCCUAAUACAUGCAAGUAGAACGCUGAAGGAGGAGCUUGCUUCUCCGGAUGAGUUGCGAACGGGUGAGUAACGCGUAGGUAACCUGCCUGGUAGCGGGGGAUAACUAUUGGAAACGAUAGCUACUCCCGCAUAACAGUAGAUGUUGCAUGACAUUUGCUUAAAAGUUGCAAUUGCAUCACUACCAGAUGCACCUGCGUGGUAUUAGCUAGUUGGUGAGGUAACGGCUCACCAAGGCGAGGACACAUAGCGGACCUGAGAGGGGGGUCGGCCCACCUGGGACUGAGACCCGGCCCAGACUCCUACGGGAGGCAGCAGGAGGGAAUCUUCGGCAAUGGGCGGAAGUCUUACCGAGAAACGCCGGGGGAGUGAAAAAGGUUUUCGGAUCGGAAAGCUCGGUUGUAAGGGAAGAACGAGCGUGAGAGUGGAAAGUUCACAUUGUGACGGUAUCUAACCAGAAAGCGACGGCUAACUACGUG